UACGGAGGGUGCAAGCGUUGCUCGGAAUUAUUGGGCGUAAAGGGUAGGUAGGUGGUCUCAUUUGUCUGGGGUGAAAGCCUUGAGCUUAACUCAAGAAGUGCCCCAGAAACGGUGAGACUAGAGUCCUGGAGAGGGUCGUGGAAUUCCCGGUGUAGCGGUGAAAUGCGUAGAGAUCGGGAGGAACACCAGAGGCGAAGGCGGCGACCUGGACAGGAACUGACACUCAACUACGAAAGCGUGGGGAGCAAACAGG
RNAcentral lists this ribosomal RNA (253 nucleotides) under uncultured bacterium. Its description in RNAcentral is "partial 16S ribosomal RNA". It matches the Rfam family "Bacterial small subunit ribosomal RNA", at positions 524 to 776 of the family's 1533-position model. The record is from RNAcentral.